RNAcentral lists this ribosomal RNA (735 nucleotides) under uncultured Ramaria. RNAcentral describes it as "eukaryotic LSU rRNA". The stretch from base 225 to 379 matches the Rfam family "5.8S ribosomal RNA". Lineage: Eukaryota; Fungi; Basidiomycota; Agaricomycetes; Gomphales; Gomphaceae. The record is from RNAcentral.
AGGAGGGGUUUGGUGCUGGCCUUUUUCUUUAGGCAUGUGCACGCCUCUCCCUUGUCCGAUACAUUCACAACCAAUACACCUGUGCACCUAUGGGGAGCGCCUUCCAUUCUGGAGCCGUCCCGGCCUACUCUUUGUGGGCGGGGGCCGAGGCGCUCCUCCCCUUAACCUACACCGCAGCCUGUUUAUAACGCAUGUGUUACAGCCCCACGGGGUAUUAAAAGUACAACUUUCAACAACGGAUCUCUUGGCUUUCGCAUCGAUGAAGAACGCCGCGAAAGKGCGAAACGUAAUGUGAAUUGCAGAAUUCAGUGAAUCAUCGAAUCUUUGAACGCAUCUUGCGCCCCUUGGUAUUCCGAGGGGCAUGCCUGUUUGAGUGUCGUGUGCCCUCUCAACCCAUCCCUCUUAGGGUCGGGUUUGGAUCUGGACGUCUGCGGCGGGUUUGCCCCGUCGCUCGUCUUCAAAAGCAUCAGCUGGUCCCNCGAGUUGGUUCAANGACGGUGUGAUNACAAACGCUUUGUUGACCGUAGCNCCGUCCGGUGCCGGCUCCAAGGGGGGUUNGCUUACANCCGUCCGUCUUUGGACNAAAAAAAAACACCCAUGACAUCUGACCUCAAAUCAGGUAGGACUACCCGCUGAACUUAAGCAUAUCAAUAAGCGGAGGAAAAGAAACUAACAAGGAUUCCCCUAGUAACGGCGAGNGAAGCGGGAAGAGCUCAAAUUNGUAAUCUGGCGGCC